Molecule: ribosomal RNA, 526 nt
Filed under: uncultured bacterium
Lineage: Bacteria
Description: bacterial SSU rRNA
Rfam family: Bacterial small subunit ribosomal RNA
Source: RNAcentral
ACAUCCAGAGAAUUUAGCAGAGAUGCUUUAGUGCCUUCGGGAACUCUGAGACAGGUGCUGCAUGGCUGUCGUCAGCUCGUGUUGUGAAAUGUUGGGUUAAGUCCCGNAACGAGCGCAACCCUUAUCCUUUGUUGCCAGCACGUAAUGGUGGGAACUCAAAGGAGACUGCCGGUGAUAAACCGGAGGAAGGUGGGGAUGACGUCAAGUCAUCAUGGCCCUUACGAGUAGGGCUACACACGUGCUACAAUGGCGCAUACAAAGAGAAGCGACCUCGCGAGAGCAAGCGGACCUCAUAAAGUGCGUCGUAGUCCGGAUUGGAGUCUGCAACUCGACUCCAUGAAGUCGGAAUCGCUAGUAAUCGUAAAUCAGAAUGUUACGGUGAAUACGUUCCCGGGCCUUGUACACACCGCCCGUCACACCAUGGGAGUGGGUUGCAAAAGAAGUAGAUAGCUUAACCUUCGGGAGGGCGUUUACCACUUUGCGAUUCAUGACUGGGGUGAAGUCGUAACAAGGUAGGCGUAGUGCU